Pelobates cultripes (western spadefoot toad) is the source of this 606-nucleotide non-coding RNA. The record is from the annotation of a GenBank genome assembly. NCBI's taxonomy places the organism in Eukaryota, Metazoa, Chordata, Amphibia, Anura, Pelobatidae.
CACAUAUCCACCUUUCUAUUGUUCAAAUAACUCUAAAGCAGCACAAUAUUUAUUAACUGUAUAUUCAUUACGAACAUUAAUCCACACGUAUGUUUUGUCACCUAAUUAGAAUUGUGUAUUUAGAAGUACAAUAUGAAUAAGUCAAAAAUAAGAUGUAGCACAAUAAUCAUUUUGCCUGCAUGUGGGCAAUUGUAAUCUCUAUGCUUGCUAAACAAAAUUAUAAUUAAUAAUGGGUUUCUGUAGCUCGAAACUGGCAUCCGCAUGUCACAAUUUGUAUUAUUUAAUUUUUUGUAUUUUUACAUUUCUUUUGCUAUAUUCUUCAUUACCUUCAGCAAUACCAUAGAAAUCUUCUAGUUACACACUGCUCCCUGCUGUUGAAAUGCAAUAUUUCAUAUCUGAAUUGUCAACUGAAAACCAAAUAAAAUUUGCCAACAAUUGCAUUUCUUUUGAUUUUGUUAAACUGAUUUGGGAUAAAAUAAAGCACUUUCGUAUAAUUUGUUCAUUAUAAAAAAAGAAUAAACCUUGCUAACAAACAAUUGGUAAAAAAAUGUAAUACAAUACAAACUAUAGAAAAUACACAACCACGUUUAUGUAAUUAUAAUAAAG